This 852-nucleotide ribosomal RNA is filed under the name uncultured bacterium. RNAcentral's name for it is "bacterial SSU rRNA". It matches the Rfam family "Bacterial small subunit ribosomal RNA", at positions 28 to 873 of the family's 1533-position model. The record is from RNAcentral.
GAAGAACGCUAGCGGCAGGGUUUAUAACAUGCAAGUAGGGGGGCAACAGGGGUAGCAAAUACCUGCUGGCGACCGGCAAACGGGUGCGGAACACGUACAGAACCUUCCUUUAAAGCGGGGGAUAGCCCAUAGAAAUGUGGAUUAAUACCCCAUAGUAAUAUUAGUUGGCAUCAAUUGAUAUUUAAAGAUUUAUCACUUAAAGAUGGCUGUGCGGCUGAUUAGGUAGUUGGUCGGGGUAACGGCCCACCAAGCCAGCGAUCAGUAACUGGUGUGAGAGCACGACCAGUCACACGGGCACUGAGACACGGGCCCGACUCCUACGGGAGGCAGCAGUAAGGAAUAUUGGUCAAUGGACGCAAGUCUGAACCAGCCAUGCCGCGUGAAGGAUGAAGGUCCUCUGGAUUGUAAACUUCUUUUAUAGGGGACGAAACCUCUUUUUCUAAAGAGACUGACGGUACCCUAGGAAUAAGCACCGGCUAACUCCGUGCCAGCAGCCGCGGUAAUACGGAGGGUGCAAGCGUUAUCCGGAUUCACUGGGUUUAAAGGGUGCGUAGGAGGGCAGGUAAGUCAGUGGUGAAACCUCCGAGCUUAACUUGGAAACUGCCGUUGAUACUAUCUGUCUUGAAUACCGAGGAGGUGAGCGGAAUAUGUCAUGUAGCGGUGAAAUGCUUAGAUAUGACAUAGAACACCAAUUGCGAAGGCAGCUUGCUACAGGAACAUUGACACUGAGGCACGAAAGCGUGGGGAUCAAACAGGAUUAGAUACCCUGGUAGUCCACGCCCUAAACGAUGGAUACUCGACAUUUGUGAUACACAAUAAGUGUCUGAGCGAACGCAUUAAGUAUCCCACCCU